AAGGCCAAUGAUAGUCAACUAAUAUAUUGCCUACAUUGCCUGAUUAGCCUUAUGAUUAUAAUCUGAUGUUGUUCUGAGGCCUUU
Molecule: non-coding RNA, 84 nt
Organism: Musa acuminata subsp. malaccensis (wild Malaysian banana)
Lineage: Eukaryota; Viridiplantae; Streptophyta; Magnoliopsida; Zingiberales; Musaceae
Source: Rfam